This 516-nucleotide ribosomal RNA is filed under the name uncultured bacterium. RNAcentral's name for it is "bacterial SSU rRNA". It matches the Rfam family "Bacterial small subunit ribosomal RNA", at positions 10 to 518 of the family's 1533-position model. The record is from RNAcentral.
AGUUCGAUUCUGGCUCAGGACGAACGCUGGCGGCGUGCUUAACACAUGCAAGUCGAACGGGGAUCAUAUGGAUGAGCGCUUCGGCAGGAAUCCGAAUGAUUCGAGUGGCGGACGGGUGAGUAACGCGUGAGCAACCUGUCCCAGACAGGGGGAUAACACUUGGAAACAGGUGCUAAUACCGCAUGAGACCACAGUAUCGCAUGGUACAGGGGUAAAAGGAGAGAUCCGGUUUGGGGUGGGCUCGCGUCCGAUUAGAUAGUUGGUGAGGUAACGGCCCACCAAGUCGACGAUCGGUAGCCGACCUGAGAGGGUGAUCGGCCACAUUGGAACUGAGAGACGGUCCAAACUCCUACGGGAGGCAGUAGUGGGGAAUAUUGGGCAAUGGGCGAAAAAGCCUGACCCAGCAACGCCGCGUGAGUGAAGAAGGCUUUCGGGUUGUAAAGCUCUGUUAUAGGGGACGAAGGAAGUGGCGGUACCCUAUAAGGAAGCCCCGGCUAACUACGUGCCAGCCGCAGC